This 874-nucleotide ribosomal RNA is filed under the name uncultured bacterium. Its description in RNAcentral is "bacterial SSU rRNA". It matches the Rfam family "Bacterial small subunit ribosomal RNA", at positions 9 to 873 of the family's 1533-position model. The record is from RNAcentral.
AGAGUUUGAUCAUGGCUCAGAUUGAACGCUGGCGGCAUGCCUUACACAUGCAAGUCGAACGGCAGCACGGGAGCAAUCCUGGUGGCGAGUGGCGAACGGGUGAGUAAUAUAUCGGAACGUGCCCAGUCGUGGGGGAUAACGUAGCGAAAGCUACGCUAAUACCGCAUACGAUCUACGGAUGAAAGCGGGGGACCUGUAAGGGCCUCGCGCGAUUGGAGCGGCCGAUAUCAGAUUAGGUUGUUGGUGAGGUAAAAGCUCACCAAGCCUGCGAUCUGUAGCUGGUCUGAGAGGACGACCAGCCACACUGGAACUGAGACACGGUCCAGACUCCUACGGGAGGCAGCAGUGGGGAAUUUUGGACAAUGGACGCAAGUCUGAUCCAGCAAUGCCGCGUGCAGGACGAAGGCCUUCGGGUUGUAAACUGCUUUUGUACGGAACGAAACGGUCUGCUUUAAUACAGUGGGCUAAUGACGGUACCGUAAGAAUAAGCACCGGCUAACUACGUGCCAGCAGCCGCGGUAAUACGUAGGGUGCGAGCGUUAAUCGGAAUUACUGGGCGUAAAGCGUGCGCAGGCGGUUAUAUAAGACAGAUGUGAAAUCCCCGGGCUCAACCUGGGACCUGCAUUUGUGACUGUAUAGCUAGAGUACGGUAGAGGGGGAUGGAAUUCCGCGUGUAGCAGUGAAAUGCGUAGAUAUGCGGAGGAACACCGAUGGCGAAGGCAAUCCCCUGGACCUGUACUGACGCUCAUGCACGAAAGCGUGGGGAGCAAACAGGAUUAGAUACCCUGGUAGUCCACGCCCUAAACGAUGUCAACUGGUUGUUGGGUCUUCACUGACUCAGUAACCGAAGCUAAACGCGUAAGUNCCCGCCUGG